Molecule: long non-coding RNA, 227 nt
Organism: Eurytemora carolleeae
Lineage: Eukaryota; Metazoa; Arthropoda; Copepoda; Calanoida; Temoridae
Exons: 4
Source: RefSeq, a predicted model, not a curated record
CAAUGUACAGGAUGAGGAUGAAGAGGAUAAAUGGGUCAAUAUACAGGAUGAGGAUGAAGAGGAUAAAUGGGUCAAUAUACAGGAUGAGGAUGAAGAGGAUAAAUGGGUCAAUAUACAGGAUGAGGAUGAAGAGGAUGAAUGGGUGACUACAUGAACAGGAUGAGGAUGAUGAGAAUAGUGUAGGAUUGACUGUGUAUGUAUGUAGAUUGUGGGGACAGUUAAUGUCU